AUUUACGUAGUUUAUAUAAAACAAUACAUUUUCAAUGUUUAAAAAAAAUAAAAUUUUGUAAAUU
This 64-nucleotide transfer RNA is filed under the name Stenocranus matsumurai. Its description in RNAcentral is "tRNA-Glu". The record is from RNAcentral. Lineage: Eukaryota; Metazoa; Arthropoda; Insecta; Hemiptera; Delphacidae.